This 253-nucleotide ribosomal RNA is filed under the name uncultured bacterium. Its description in RNAcentral is "partial 16S ribosomal RNA". It matches the Rfam family "Bacterial small subunit ribosomal RNA", at positions 524 to 776 of the family's 1533-position model. The record is from RNAcentral.
UACGUAGGGCGCAAGCGUUAUCCGGAAUUAUUGGGCGUAAAGAGCUCGUAGGCGGUUUGUCGCGUCUGCCGUGAAAGUCCGGGGCUCAACUCCGGAUCUGCGGUGGGUACGGGCAGACUAGAGUGAUGUAGGGGAGACUGGAAUUCCUGGUGUAGCGGCGAAAUGCGCAGAUAUCAGGAGGAACACCGAUGGCGAAGGCAGGUCUCUGGGCAUUAACUGACGCUGAGGAGCGAAAGCAUGGGGAGCGAACAGG